CCUUCGAUAGCUCAGUUGGAAGAGCGCGAGACUGUAAUAGGAUACCGCAAUCUUGAGGUCGCUGGUUCGAUCCCGGCUCGAAGGA
This is a non-coding RNA of Cerrena zonata, 85 nucleotides long. Lineage: Eukaryota; Fungi; Basidiomycota; Agaricomycetes; Polyporales; Cerrenaceae. The record is from the annotation of a GenBank genome assembly.